This 400-nucleotide long non-coding RNA is filed under the name Nicotiana benthamiana. RNAcentral's name for it is "long non-coding RNA (NBEN_LNC006256)". Lineage: Eukaryota; Viridiplantae; Streptophyta; Magnoliopsida; Solanales; Solanaceae. The record is from RNAcentral.
AUAAGGCCAGUAAAUGAGAGGUACAGAGGCAUGAUGAAGGAGAGUGAGGCCAGUAUCGACAAUAUGACGGUGACGACGUUCAGCAUCGCCAUUUACUGUUGUGGCAAAGAUAUAAGGCCAGUAAAUGAGAGGUGCAGAGGCAUAAUGAAGGAGAGUGAGACCAGUAUCGACAAUAUGACGGUGACGGCGUUUAGCAUAGCCUUUUGUUGAGGUGUAUGAGGAGGUGAAGUAAGAUGUGAGAUGUCAUGGGAGGCAAGAAAAGAGCGUAAGGCUAGGAAUUCACCCUCAUUAUCAGUAUACAGAGUAAUGAUUUUUAGCAGAGAAAUAUUUUUUCUUCAAUGGACUUAAAAGUGGUGAAGGUUUGUAAGACAUCAGAUUUACGGCGUAAAGGGAAAAACCA